Molecule: ribosomal RNA, 1392 nt
Filed under: Vibrio cholerae
Lineage: Bacteria; Pseudomonadati; Pseudomonadota; Gammaproteobacteria; Vibrionales; Vibrionaceae
Description: partial 23S ribosomal RNA
Rfam family: Bacterial large subunit ribosomal RNA
Source: RNAcentral
CUACGGCAGUGAAGUCAUUGAUGCCAUGCUUCCAGGAAAAGCCUCUAAGCUUCAGAUAGUCAGGAAUCGUACCCCAAACCGACACAGGUGGUCGGGUAGAGAAUACCAAGGCGCUUGAGAGAACUCGGGUGAAGGAACUAGGCAAAAUGGUACCGUAACUUCGGGAGAAGGUACGCUCUUGAUGGUGAAGUCCCUCGCGGAUGGAGCUGACGAGAGUCGCAGAUACCAGGUGGCUGCAACUGUUUAUUAAAAACACAGCACUGUGCAAAAUCGCAAGAUGACGUAUACGGUGUGACGCCUGCCCGGUGCCGGAAGGUUAAUUGAUGGGGUUAGCGCAAGCGAAGCUCUUGAUCGAAGCCCCGGUAAACGGCGGCCGUAACUAUAACGGUCCUAAGGUAGCGAAAUUCCUUGUCGGGUAAGUUCCGACCUGCACGAAUGGCGUAAUGAUGGCCACGCUGUCUCCACCCGAGACUCAGUGAAAUUGAAAUCGCUGUGAAGAUGCAGUGUACCCGCGGCUAGACGGAAAGACCCCGUGAACCUUUACUACAGCUUGGCACUGAACAUUGAACCUACAUGUGUAGGAUAGGUGGGAGGCUAUGAAGACGUGACGCCAGUUGCGUUGGAGCCGUCCUUGAAAUACCACCCUUGUAUGUUUGAUGUUCUAACUUAGACCCAUUAUCUGGGUUGAGGACAGUGCCUGGUGGGUAGUUUGACUGGGGCGGUCUCCUCCCAAAGAGUAACGGAGGAGCACGAAGGUGGGCUAAUCACGGUUGGACAUCGUGAGGUUAGUGCAAUGGCAUAAGCCCGCUUAACUGCGAGAAUGACGGUUCGAGCAGGUGCGAAAGCAGGUCAUAGUGAUCCGGUGGUUCUGUAUGGAAGGGCCAUCGCUCAACGGAUAAAAGGUACUCCGGGGAUAACAGGCUGAUACCGCCCAAGAGUUCAUAUCGACGGCGGUGUUUGGCACCUCGAUGUCGGCUCAUCACAUCCUGGGGCUGAAGUCGGUCCCAAGGGUAUGGCUGUUCGCCAUUUAAAGUGGUACGCGAGCUGGGUUUAGAACGUCGUGAGACAGUUCGGUCCCUAUCUGCCGUGGGCGUUGGAAGAUUGAAGGGGGCUGCUCCUAGUACGAGAGGACCGGAGUGGACGAACCUCUGGUGUUCGGGUUGUGUCGCCAGACGCAUUGCCCGGUAGCUAAGUUCGGAAUUGAUAAGCGCUGAAAGCAUCUAAGCGCGAAGCGAGCCCUGAGAUGAGUCUUCCCUGACGGUUUAACCGUCCUAAAGGGUUGUUCGAGACUAGAACGUUGAUAGGCAGGGUGUGUAAGCGUUGUGAGGCGUUGAGCUAACCUGUACUAAUUGCCCGUGAGGCUUAACCAUACAACACCCAAGGGGUUUUGUA